RNAcentral lists this long non-coding RNA (8699 nucleotides) under Panax ginseng (ginseng). RNAcentral's name for it is "long non-coding RNA (PGIN_LNC010576)". The record is from RNAcentral. Lineage: Eukaryota; Viridiplantae; Streptophyta; Magnoliopsida; Apiales; Araliaceae.
GCAAUAAUCCGUAACAUGUAUUUACUAUGGAUUAAAAAUUGACAAAUAACAUCCUAACCUUCCAUUCUAAAAAUUAAGGGUUGUGAUUAAAAAAAACAUCUUGUCGUCCACUAGUCAUACUAGCGGUCUGGCCGAGCAAAUAUUGUGAAAUCGAAUUGGGGUUUGUGCUUUGGUUUUAUUCAUACUUAUUAUAUGGAGUAUAACUCUCUUGACGACAGUUUAUAUUCUUGUAUUUUUGUUUAAUAUUGUUGAGACCAGCUGCACGUUUUGAUUGGAAUAUUAUUAGCUGAUUCAGUAAACACCAUCUAAUACACACUUUGAAUCAAAACUGAGUUCAAGUGUGUUUCUAUUGUUCUGUUUGAUUUGCAUACAUCAAUUGUCAAAAAUGAACUCUACUUUUUCUAGCUACAACCAUUAAGUUUCUAGAAUUGGUACAAGAAUCAACCAUUGAUGCAAUCUUUAAAAGAAAUAAAAUCUCCUUGUUUCCUGCCAAAACUGGAAGUAUUGCUUCUCAAGUGGUGACUGGAGUCUCUCCUACUGUGGUAGUGGGAAGUAGAUUUUCAAGGGCCCAAUUUGGGAAUUCAUUUUUUCCUUCUAGUACAGCUGGGGUAAAGUUUAUAAACAACUCCUCCUUUGGUUUUUCCUGCAAAUGUGAAGAAGUUGACAGUUAAUAAAAAUCAGUCAAGAAAGGAGAAGGGGCUUUGUUUCGACUUGUAUAAGUCUGGGCAUAGAUGUCAAAACAAGCAACUUUUCAUGCUUCUUGGGGAUGAUGAAACCAAGGAGGAAGAAUUAGGGGAAGUUACAUAAAAUUGCUACCCAGAAAACUUACAAGGAGUGCGGGAAUCAGCAAUGCCAAUCGAUCUCUUUGCAUGCUUUAUAUGUAAAUACCUCUGCUACAACUGUGAAAAUCAAAGCAAUAGUGUAUAAUAAAUUGUGGCUGGUGCAUUGUUAAGACAAGAAAUUCUCUUUGUUUACAAGCUAUACUGCCAGUAAACCACUUUGGCUACAAGAGAUUGAUUUUACUUUUGCAAAUUGCAAAUGGUAUUCUGAGAAACAAUGGUCUGAUUAAUCUGGGAAAGGGUAAUGACAUCAGGAGAAGAAGCAUAUUUUCAAUUUUCCAUGACAGUUCCUUGGGUGGUUUCUCUGGGGUACAAGCUACACUAAAGAGACUCGAUAAAUAUUUUGUAUGGCCUGCAGGUAUGAUUGAAAAUAUAAGGAAAUGGACUGCUGAAUGUGACACUUGCCAAAGACAUAAAAGUGAGAACAUGCUUCCAGGGAUUCUACUGGGAUUGAUAUAUCCUUAGAUUUCAUUGAAGGAUUACCCAAGUCAGAAGGUAAUACAGUCAUUUUAGUGGGUUUUCUAAAUUUGGCUAUUUCAUUAGUAUGAAGCAUCCCUAUACUGUAAUCUUUGUGGUCAAACUCUUCAUUACCAACACUUAUAAAUUUAAUGGACUGCCUCGGACAAUUAUAAGCGAUAAAGACAAGAUUGUUCUUAGCACUUUCUGGCAGACAGUAUUUCAUAUUAUCAUUCCCAGUCUGAUGGACAGACUGAACGACUUUAUAAGUGUCUGGAAUGUUACUCAAGGUGCAUGUGUACUGAGCAGCCAAAGAAGUGGAACAGCUGGUUGGUUUUAGCUCAAUGGUGGUACAAAUACAAUAUUAAGUUUCCAAAUCACACAAGGAAAAUGAAUGUUCCUAUUGGUCCGAAAAGUAAGUCGGGUGUUUGAAGUUAUUUUUAUAUGAAGUUGUAUGAUUAUUUAAUUGCAAAACCAUUUGAUUUUGGUUAUAUAUUUUGAUUUAUCACUAUGGUUUAUUAUUUUUGUUGUAUAAUAUUUUAAUUUUUCAUUUAUAUGAUAAAUAAACUACAUAAUCUAUUAUUAAAAUAUUAUUUAUAAAUAAAAUAAUUACAAAACUAAAUAAUUUUCAAAUAUUGUUUACAAUAACAUUCUCUCUUUGGGAGGUAUUAGUUGAGUCGGACUCCUGAGUAAAUAACUUCUUCUAAAAUUCUCUUUCACUAGCGGGAUAAGAACUUAUUGAUGGUCUUUUACUGAGUUCCCUCUCAAUAUUAAGGGAAGGAGAUACCGGUGUAUGAGUCUGGAUUUGGGGGUUAACCGUUAACAUUUUGCGGUUGAGUUUCAUGGUAAACAUUAGCAGUACUAACAGGAUCGUCACUAGUCCCUUCGGCUUGAAAAUUUUCAAAAAUAAAUUCAAAUUUUGUAUGUUUUGUUGGUAACCCAAUUACGUAUGUCCAUACCUAAUAAUCAAUAAAUAUUUAAAAACUAAUUCAACAUCAAAAUAAAUCAAUAUACAAUAUGAAUAGUCAAGUGUAGUUAGCACCAACAAUAAACAAUCUCAAUUAAACCACUAACAAGUAACAAAUAACGUUACAAAAUAAAUUACAAAAUUUAAAGAAAAUUAAAAAUAGAUUAGAACACAUACUUGAAGAACUUUUAUUUGAUGGAGUUCUCUUCACUAUUGUUGUAGUAUUGCUUUAAGAAGUAAAAAGCCCUAAUUUUAUAAAAGUACAAACAAGAAGAAUCCAUAAACAAUUACAUAAAUUCCUAAAGUAAUUGUUAAAUUUGUAAAAUUAAAAUAUACUUUGGAAUUUGGAGACUUGGUUCACUAGACUACUUGGAAUUUGCAGAUCCGGAUCCUACUUGCUUCUGUUGAGAUUUGCGAUUUUGGAGAUUUGAAGACCUGUCGAGUUGGAGUUGUUGAGUGUUAGCUUUUGCUUUGUUCUCUCUGUUGCUGCUGAAUAGAUGAAAAGUUGGGCUACUGAUUGGUCCUUUAGUUUUUUAAGUCUAAAUGUCAAAUUUCACUUAAAACCCUCCUAAUUUUUUUUUUAAUAUGCCCCCCUGACCCCAUGAAAGUUCAGUGGGGUCAGGUGCCCCCUUCCCUGCUGUAGGUCCGCCCCUGCUGUCAUGAAUAUAUAUCGAUAAUGCUUGAACGGAACACUUGUCGGUAGUGGGUGGUCUAUUUAUAAAGACAAUGUCCCCAUCCAUAAUCCUCCUAUGUACCACUUGUCCAGGUCUUAAAAAUGUAUGACCUUUUGAACCUUCCCUCAAUGAGUAUGUAGACGACCCAUCCCUAUAUGUUAAGCACAAUUUUUCGUCAACCAGCUUCUGCAGAUAUGACAUAUUGUGCUGACUCACAUUCUCCUCAAAAGUAAUUCUCUGAGCUAUUUCAAAAGGCAAACCAAUUUCACCCACCCCUUUAUAUGGAUCACUAGUUAUAAUACUACGAGAGGAAAACCCAGAAGCUAAACAAAGUUCUCAUCUUCUCUAGCCAUACUUUUGUAGAAGAAUCAUUUGGUUCUCUUUUUAUCCCGAAACAUCCAUCCACAUCACGAGAUACCUUAUAAAAGAAAAUGUUUGAAUCAGCGAGAGGUAGGACAGUUGAUUAACAAACAUACUUAUAACUUGGAUGAUAUAACUUGUUGACUGAACUAUAAUAAUGUUUUAGCGGAAGGAAAAUUCGUGAGCAAUAUUAGAACUUCACUCAUAUUAGUUAAACCAAUUUUUGGACACUAUUUUUAGCUUAUAUGAAGCCGACGACUAAACUAGCUAAAUACCAGGUCAUCUUGUAGAACACAUUAUUGUUUGCCAUGUUUAUCCUUUUUGUUACUCUAUAUAGAAAAGGAAUAAUUUAUUAGAGAGAGAUCCAAUAGAGGAAUAUAAUCCUCCCCCCAAAAAAUAAACAAAUAAAAAACAAGAAAUUGUUACAAAGUCGUAAGGAAGGAUUUCUCCCAAGAGAUCCGGAAUAAAAACACCUCUAAAGUCCCAAAAACCAACAACCAAGAGAUGAAAGGGAAGAGAAUUUGUACGAUUAUAAGGAAGAAAUGGAGAAUUUUGUCGUUGAAGAUCCUAAUGUUCGUUUCAAUCCAACAACGCAACAAAAUAGCGAUACAAUUCUUUUCCCAAGUUAAACAAGCACUUGGCCACAAAAUCUUCCCCAGAAUCCCCAACCCCCAAAUAAAAAAUAAUAAUAAAUAUAUUUAAAAAAAGACUUGAUCUCUAAAAGAUUCUCCACUGACAAUAGCAAACCAAUAUAUGACACAUUCUCUUGGGACAAUCUAAUUAUACACUACAGUAAGUAAUACUAACACAUAGUUCCUCAAGUCAAGCAAAAUCUAAACCAUCUUGCCAACACACACUUUAUCAGAGAAAAUAAAUGCAUAUAACAAAAUGACAAUGAGUAAAUAAAAAUAUCAUUUGAAGAAGCAUUAAGGACCUUUCCUCUCAAAUUUGUGUGAGUGAUCCUACUCGUACACCAAGUAAAGUUUACCAAGUCGUACGAGUACCUUAGCAGUACCCCUAACUUGAAGAUACUGUGCAACUGCUGCUCGCAAAUCCUUAGCUUCAAUUUCAUGGGAUUCAAAAUUUGGUGUCCCAGACCUUGAACUUUUGAUAAUCUCGAUUUGUUUCAACACUUUCUUUAGAACUUCUAUAGAAUGAUCCAGGAUAGAUAUUAUUGAAAUAAUGGUCAAAAUAGAAACAGUACUAGAUCAAACCUAAGAGUCGUGUAUGAAAAGAAUGAUUAACUAAAGAAAUGACACUGUUCCAUCCAAGAUGUUCGCCACGGACAAACAGUUUGGAGGGACAUGUAAAUAUUGCAAGAUAUACCCAUCUUGAGCCAAGAAUCCUUUCUCAACAAGUUUUUUCCUAGUCUCAUUAGAAAUAUUUCUCAGAAUCACCAUGACCUGGUCAUUGUCGAGGGUAUAAAAAUUAAAUAACAAUGAGAAUGUUGAACUUGUAUCAAAUACAAAUAUUCUACAAUUUGGACUAAUCGAUAUAUAAAUUUAUACGCUUAGACCAAGACAACAUCCUGCUAGUCUCCUUCAAUUCAUAGGAUCGAAUGUCCAAAUGCAAAAAAUUCUUUUACCAAUAUCCAACCACCAGGACACGUAAUCUCAAAAUUAACAAAUGUUCACAUUUCUAAUCAAAGAAUAGGAGGCAGAGAAGUAGCAAUGCAAUACAAAGACGGUAUAGCGUUCUAAACUGAAACGAGGCUUCAAGUUUCAAUCUUAAACAUUAGGAGUUCAAACGAAACAGCUUGAGCUCAUAUAAAACUCGUUCGAAACUAAUUUAUUUAACAAAUGAACGAACUUAAUAAGUGAAGCUUGAGUAUGACAUGCUCAAUCAACUCUAUAAGGUUCGUGAGCAUGUCAUACUCAAGCUUCACUUAUUUAGUUUCACGAGCUUAUAUAUAUAUACAUAUAUAUAUAUAUAUAUAUGGAGCCGGAUCUUAGACGGACCAAAAUUACGGACCAAAAUGACGGACCUAUUAUUUUCUCUCUCCUCUUUCACUUACCAGUUACCGCAUACCGCGAAUAUUAGUUCUCUUCUCAUUUUUCAGCCAAAAAGUGAACGCUGCUUAUCUAGGUCGAAAGGGGCGAAGGAGUUCUGUGAGCUCAUAGCCAUGGUCGACCCCUGCUCUCGCUUUUUCAGACAUUCGUUAAGUUGGGUUCGAUUUGUCAAUUUCAGAGCUCCUCUCCCUUACCCAAUUCGGACAAAAGCCAUAAAUCUAGGGCGAAAGUAGCGAAGCCCCAAAUUCGGUGCAAGCCAACCCCCUUUCCCUCAUCCGAUUCGGUCGAAAGGAACGAAAUUGUGUUCGAUUUCUUCCCCUGCCACUGACCCGAAUCAGUUCAAGCAAUCCUAGAUAUUCGCGGUACUUCCUUUCCUCUGGUAAGCUUUUCUUAUUUGUUAGUCUUGUCUAUAGAAACCGUAAUUGCUGAUAGAAUCUUCUGCAGCAGUAUGAACUGAUCAUGGAUUUUGUGUGGGAUAAUAUAUUUACCCUGGUGUAUUUUCCAGAAAAUUUAUUUAUUGUAAUUGUAGGGUUUUUAUCUUUGGUAAUGAGUAAUUGAGAGUAAAUGUGCAUUGCAGAUUGAUGAGUUAAUAUAGUACAAAAGUAAUUGAAGCUAAAAAUCUAAUAACUUGGAUGUUGGAAACCUAUGUUCUCAACUGUUAUAAACUUGCACAAACUUUCAAGAACUGUUUCGCAUCAUUGUAAGUGGACAUCUGAGUUAUGCUCACUGUAUCAUGUCCACCAUUUAGUCUUGAAAACACAAGGGGAAUUUGAGAUAGUCUAAAAUUGUAUAAGAUAAUUGCUAAUUGUUGUUUUGAGAGGAGUCUUAAAAGAAAUAGUAUUUCCAACUCAUCUAAAGAAAAAAAGAAGGUUAAAUGUACUUUAUUUAUGCCUGCUACAUUAUUUCUGAGGUAAUGAUAAUACUCAUUUGUUCAAACUGGUUUUUUAUCUUUUUUUUUGUUCGUCACUGCAAUAUGCUUCUUCUUCUUUUAUAUAUCCAUUCAUGAUAUGCAUUUGUGGUGCCUGUGGCAUCCUACUUACAGUAGCAGAUUAGUGGUUUUGACAGGUCUGUUUAUGCACCAAUCCUUUUUGGCUUGUAUGGCAGGACCAAGUUCGCUAUUUCAUCGAAGAGGUACACUUUUAAUAGUACUAGACUAGCCUCAUCUCUAAGUAAAAUUCAGUUAUAAUUGAUGAUGUAUGCAACCAUUAUAGAGAUACUGCAUAUUCUUUUUGGAAAAGUGUUCCACUUUCUCUUUGUUGGUGAAAUUCAGUUAUAGUUGAUGAUGUAGCCUCAUCUUUGUUUGCAUUGCAGCUGUACAGGUAGCUUAAAAGAAUACAGAGAGAUGGAGUAUGAAAGAAACUGAAACAUUUGUGCGCGUGUAGUAUUUUGGGACGGCUGGGUUAUCUCAUUGUUGUUGCUGCUGCUGUUGGGAUGGCUGGGUUAAUUUUUGGUGUCCUAGUUACACUAAAUUAACAAUUGCUACCUCUUAUUCUCUAUUAUUGUGGAAUUUGUAUAAACAAUUGCUACCUCUUAUUCUCAAAUACAUUUUCCCUAGCAAUUAACAUGAUCUUUGGUAUUGUAUUGUGGGCAUGCCAGUUGAGCGGUUCCAUUACUCUUGGGUGUAUGUUUGGGUUCUUUUAUAUUAUUCUUGUGGUGGUAAAAUGACAACAGUGCCAUCAACGCAAUUGGUUAUAUGACACAACCACCCAUGUACAUUUUCCAUCUUAAAGUGUUUUGAUGUUUUACUUCACAGAAGUUGGUACUUUUUAGUAAUAUUUUUAUUAAAUAUUAAUGGCUGCAGAGGAAGGUGAGGAUUAAGCUAAGCUUAAUUACUGGGAUAAUUUACUACCAUUUGGGUGCACUGCUAAACCCCUGAAAACAAAGCUCUUGUGCCUCCCCUCCUAUGGAGUUUUGAACCCAUGACCUGUACAUUCUUUGCUACGAAAUUCCUUGACAAUCUUUGAGCAACAUUCUAAGUACAAAUCAGCAUUCCUUUGUAAACAAAGAAGAUUUCAAUUUUAUGUGCAAGUAAAUAGAAUAGAAGAGAUAUAUAAAAAAAUUGAAACCCUAACACACUUACUUUUCCAUAAUUCAGACAUGAUAAAAACCUUCUUCCUGGUUUGAAUCGGUCCAUGCUGUUUUAAGUUGCGGUCGCCUCUCACAAUCACAAUGUGCGUUCAUAGCUGCUCAAAUAAAAUGUAUUCAAACACGAAUAGAGUGAGAAAGUCUUUCUCAAACUCAAACACAAAUAGAGUUAAUUACUAAUAUAUGGAAUGCUAUACAUUAGCACCACUUUGUUGCAGCAAGUUACAAGUCGAAUUAGGUUUUUAUAGUUUUUUAGGGAUUCAUAUUGGUAUUGGCUUAGUCAAGGUCUUCUAUUGAUGUUGUUGAUACUUGAUAGCAUAGACAAAUUUCAUUUUUGGAACUCCACAUAGCGUUAUGCUCUUCUUUAUCAGCGGAAGAAAUUCACUAAUUAUGUAUUAGCAUGGUACCCAGGUGGUUCAAUUUUGUAAGCACAAAAGAGAAGGAGAUUUUUGACACAGUGCUCUGCCUUUAUAAUAGGAAUUAAGAUAAAAUUGGAAUGCAAACUUCACAUAAAAAGCUAUCCAAGGAGAUUACAUCAAUCAUACAGAUCACUCAUUCACAUCCUAAUAAAAUGAUGUCACAUUCAGGUACUUGUUUCUCAUUAAACCCACAGGAAUAAAUAUUAAAUGAGGCAACCACCAAAUUGAGCAUAUAAAAAGACAAACAACACUCACCAAGGCCAAAAGCAAAACAAACUAUUGACUUAAAGAAAUUUCAAAGGAAAAAUGUGCAUUGCAGCUUUUGUAUGGCAAGUUCAUCCUUUGUUCGAUUUAUCAGCGUUAUGCUCUUCUCCAUUUUACUCCUAAAGACUUCACUAUUAAACCACACAAAACAAACAUGCUCAAAAGGAAGGGGGAAUAAUCCUUGAAAACCAAAUGAAAAAAGAGACCCAAAUUACUAAAACACGAAAGCUGAAAAUGAGAGAGAAAUAAGAGGGGCUUGCACUUCGCUACUUUCGCCCUAGAUUAGCAUAUAUGUGAAACUCAUCAAAUUGAUUAAAAAAAAUCUCAUCAACAACACAUCCCCAAUUUGAAUCGAUAAAACAUUGAUAAAAAUUUCUUCAUUAGCAUCUCAUAUGAAAAUCAGUAUAAAAACUAAAAAUUGUUAAUUACCUGCGUAUUGGAUGUGAUUAGGGUCUGCGCACUAGAAGAAAAGGGGCAAAAGUGUAAAGGGGCAGUAGCGUUGAUGGAUCCGGCCUUCCGGCGUUUUGGCACUCAAACUAGUCAGAAUCGGGGAGAGAGAAUCAGCAGGAUUUGGGGAGAGAGAGGGAAUCGUAGCAUCUCAGUUUGUUUCCCCCUUUUUUUNNNNN